CCGGAUUUAUUGGGUUUAAAGGGUGCGUAGGCGGCUUUAUAAGUCAGCGGUGAAAUAUUGCAGCUUAACUGUAACAGUGCCGUUGAUACUGUAGAGCUAGGAUUAGGUUGCUGUGGGCGGAAUGUGUGGUGUAGCGGUGAAAUGCUUAAAGAUCACACAGAAUAUCGAUUGCGAAGGCAGCUCACAAAGCCUAAAUUGACGCUGAGGCACGAAAGUGUGGGGAUCGAACAGGAUUAGAUACCCUGGUAGUCCGCACUGUAAACGAUGAUAACUCGCUGUCGGCGAUAUACAGUCGGUGGCCAAGCGAAAGCGAUAAGUUAUCCACCUGGGGAGUACGACCGCAAGGUUGAAACUCAAAGGAAUUGACGGGGGCCCGCACAAGCGGAGGAACAUGUGGUUUAAUUCUAUGAUACGCGAGGAACCUUACCCGGGCUCGAACGGUGCAUGAAUGUCAUAGAGAUUUGACAGUCCUUCCGGGACAUGUAUCGAGGUGCUGCAUGGUUGUCGUCAGCUCGUGCCGUGAGGUGUCGGCUUAAUGUGCCAUAACGAGCGCAAUCCUUGUUGACAGUUACCAUCAGGUAAAAGCUCGGGACUCUGUCGAGACUGCCACUGUAAUGUGUGAGCCACGUGGGGGAUGACCGUCAAAUCAGCAUCGGACCCUUUAUGUCCGGGGCGACAUACGAGGUUACAAUGGGCCGGUACAGAUGGCCAGCUAUCUCAGUGAUGGGAGUUGCCAAAUCUCGAAAACCGUUUCCUCAGCUUCGGACUUGCGAGGUCUGCAUCUCGACUCCAUGAAGUUUGGAUUCCCUAGUCAGUCGACGUCAUUCAGC
This 830-nucleotide ribosomal RNA is filed under the name uncultured bacterium. Its description in RNAcentral is "bacterial SSU rRNA". It matches the Rfam family "Bacterial small subunit ribosomal RNA", at positions 545 to 1356 of the family's 1533-position model. The record is from RNAcentral.